GAUGAACGCUGGCGGCGUGCUUAACACAUGCAAGUCGAACGGAAAGGCCCAAGCUUGCUUGGGUACUCGAGUGGCGAACGGGUGAGUAACACGUGGGUGAUCUGCCCUGCACUUCGGGAUAAGCCUGGGAAACUGGGUCUAAUACUGGAUAGGACCACUUCUUGGAUGUUGUGGUGGAAAGUUUUUUCGGUGUGGGAUGAGCUCGCGGCCUAUCAGCUUGUUGGUGGGGUAAUGGCCUACCAAGGCGUCGACGGGUAGCCGGCCUGAGAGGGUGUACGGCCACAUUGGGACUGAGAGACGGCCCAGACGCCUACGGGAGGCAGCAGUGGGGAAUAUUGCACAAUGGGCGCAAGCCUGAUGCAGCGACGCCGCGUGGGGGAUGACGGCCUUCGGGUUGUAAACUCCUUUCGCUAGGGACGAAGCGUUUUGUGACGGUACCUGGAGAAGAAGCACCGGCUAACUACGUG
RNAcentral lists this ribosomal RNA (467 nucleotides) under uncultured bacterium. RNAcentral's name for it is "partial 16S ribosomal RNA". It matches the Rfam family "Bacterial small subunit ribosomal RNA", at positions 28 to 507 of the family's 1533-position model. The record is from RNAcentral.